UUCACUUAAAGGUGAGCCUGCGGCGUAUUAGCUAGUUGGUAAGGUAACGGCUUACCAAGGCGACGAUGCGUAGCCGACCUGAGAGGGUGAUCGGCCACAUUGGGACUGAGACACGGCCCAAACUCCUAUGGGAGACAGCAGUUAGGAAUAUUCGACAAUGGAGGAAACUCUGAUCGAGCAAUGCCGCGUGAGUGAUGACGGUCCUUUGGAUUGUAAAACUCUUUUAUUAGGGAAGAACGACUAGUAUAGGAAAUGAUACUAGAGUGACGGUACCUUUUGAAUAAGCCCCGGCUAACUACGUGCCAGCAGCCGCGGUAAUACGUAGGGGGCGAGCGUUAUCCGGAUUUAUUGGGUUUAAAGGGUGCGUAGGCGGAAAUGUAAGUCAGUGGUGAAAUCCUGCAGCUUAACUGUAGAAUAGCCGUUGAAACUGUGUUUCUUGAGUACAUUUGAGGUAGGCGGAAUGUGGUGUGUAGCGGUGAAAUGCAUAGAUAUACCACAGAACACCGAUUGCGAAGGCAGCUUACUAAACUGUCACUGACGCUGAUGCACGAAAGCGUGGGUAUCAAACAGGAUUAGAUACCCUGGUAGUCCACGCUGUAAACGAUAAAUACUGGUUGUUUGCGAUACACGCCAGUGAAUUGAGGGAAGGCAUAAAUUAUUCCACCCGGGGGGUAGGUCGGCAAGGAGGAAAUUCAAAGAAAUGAACGGGGGCCCCCCCAACCGGAGGAACAUAUGUUUUAAUUCGAUGUUACGCGAGGAGCCUUACCUGGGUUUAAAUGGGGAGGGACAGGCUUGGAAACAGGCCCUUCUUCGGACACUCUUCAAGGUGCUGCAUGGUUGUCGUCAGCUCGUGCCGUGAGGUGUCGGGUUAAGUCCCAUAACGAGCGCAACCCCUAUCGAUAGUUACUAACAGGUUAAGCUGAGGACUCUAUCGAGACUGCCGGCGUAAGCUGUGAGGAAGGUGGGGAUGACGUCAAAUCAGCACGGCCCUUACGUCCGGGGCGACACACGUGUUACAAUGGGGGGGACAGAAGGCUGCCACUGGGUGACCAGGCGCUAAUCCCAAAACCCCCUCUCAGUUCGGAUCGAAGUCUGCAACCCGACUUCGUGAAGCUGGAUUCGCUAGUGAUCGCGCAUCAGCCAUGGCGCGGUGAAUAAGUUCCCGGGCCUUGUACUCACCGCCCGUCAAG
This 1190-nucleotide ribosomal RNA is filed under the name uncultured bacterium. Its description in RNAcentral is "bacterial SSU rRNA". It matches the Rfam family "Bacterial small subunit ribosomal RNA", at positions 214 to 1401 of the family's 1533-position model. The record is from RNAcentral.